Molecule: long non-coding RNA, 492 nt
Organism: Theobroma umbraticum
Lineage: Eukaryota; Viridiplantae; Streptophyta; Magnoliopsida; Malvales; Malvaceae
Source: RefSeq, a predicted model, not a curated record
AUUGAAGCUUAGAAUAAUUUGAAGGAUUCAAGGAGAUUUGGAGAUCAAGAAUACAAUUCGUACUUGUGGUCGUUGUAUGCAAAGAGUUCGAAAUUUGAAAAUUGUUCCUUUUGAUGCAGCAAUAGAAAAGACUUUUCAAAGACUUCAGAGGAAAAAUAAAAAAGUUUUUGCUCCAAGUAAAACAAUGGCUAAUCAACAAGAAGAAGAGACCAAGCCUUUGAGGGAUUACUAUGUCCCACAAGUACAAAAUCUCCACUCUAGUAUACAAAGACCUCCUAUUCAAGCCAAAAACUUUGAAAUUAAGCCAUCAAUUACUUAGAUGAUUCAAGCUGUUGUUCAGUUUGGUGGUUUGCCUAAUGAUGAUCCGAAUGCUCAUAUUGUAAAUUUUCUAAACAUUUGCGAUACAUUCGAGGUUAAUGGUGUUACUGAUGAUGCCAUAAGUUUGAGAUUUUUCCCUAUUUUAUUGAGAGAUAAAGCAAAGAGUUGAUUAAA